ACACAGGCAUUAACAUAUACGGUCAUUGUCUCUGCUGCUUCCCACUGCAGCUUUAUAUAAUAAAACAAGCCGCGUCAAAUAGGCUAGGCUGUAAUAUUAGGUAAAAUCUAAUUUCAGUUUGGUUAUCACAUAGCGUUCAUUUCCCUAAGGGAGGAGAAAAAAUUAAAUUUGUAAGCUUAAGAUUCCAGCUGAAGUACUCAAGAAUCCUGUUUCUCUGACAGAGGAAAGGAACAACAACUUGACUGGACACAUCCUAACCCAACCAUACGCUGUGUUACUUCCUCCACUGCGCCACACACAGCUAUUAUUCUAAGCUCUCUUAUUCAAACCCUUAAGGAUUUGUAAGGAGAACACUAAGAAGAUGGGCAGAAAUCAAAGCUUCCUGGUGUGAGGUUGUGGUAGAAGAUUCCUGGUUGAUCAAUGUAUAGAAGAUGGAAAUGGAUUCCAGUUGUGGGAAGGAAGAAAUCAUUGCUGCAGUCUCAGUCUGCUCUGCAGGAAUAGACCAUCUGAGGACACAGCACGAAGGUGGCCAUCUGCAAUUCAAGGAGAGAAGCCUCGGGAGAAAAUAAACCUGCCGGCACCUUGAUCUUGGACUUUUAGUUUCCAGAGCUGUGAGAAAAUAAAUGUUUGUUGUUUAAGCCACCCAGUCCGUGGUAUUUUGUUAUGGCAAACCUAGCAGACUAAUACAGAGAAGGAUGAAAAAUGAAGAACAUUUUUUUUUUGGAGCCUAUUACAACAGAUGAAAAUUCAUGCCCUCUUACACCCUAAGUUUCAGAGUAGGGAAAUAAAUACUACAUGUAAUGAAGACAGCAAAUUAUACAAUAUAUGAGAAGGUAAUAAAUGCUGUGGAAGAAACUCGAAGGUUAUAUUGAACUAGGAGAUCAGCAGUGCUGGGGACAGAGGGUUACAGGUUUUGGUACCAGACAGGAAGAGCAGGGAGGCAUCAUUGAGAAGGUACCAACUGUGUACUCAGAAGAGAGGAGGCAGCUGGUUAUGAGGUCAUCUGGGGGACAGCACGACAGGUAGAGACAGGAAAAGUAUAAAGGCUCUGAGGUGGAACCUGAGGGUUGGAGGCACAGCAGGAAGCCAAGAUAGCUGGCAUUCACCAUAAGAAUGGUAGAAAGGAGUCUGAGGCAAGAUACAGGCCAGCCUGCAUGGGGCCUUGUAGACCGAGUAAAUACCUCGGAUGUUGCAAGGACUUUUCUGCCUUGCACGUUCUCCUUUCUCAAAAUCUGUUCCUUCUGUUUGUUCUACAAAUUCCUAGUUUCUGAAAACCAGCUACUGAUCUGGUCUAAUUUUCUCUUUUUAUCAUAGGGUAAAAGAUACUUGAAUAAUAUUCCACAUAUCACUACACUCAGAUUCUACUCUUGAUUCUGAAGUUUUUGUUUGUUUGCUUUUUACUAACAUCAUCUUCUCCCUCAACUACCUAAUCUUUGGCUUUCCUAAAUUGGGAAAAUUAAUAUGACAUAAGUUUCUUCAUCAGAUAUAUCCUCAAAAUGAUGGUUAACUGAGCCAAGGUCAUAUUGGAAAAGGGUUUGAAAUGAGAACAUAUGGACACAGCGAGGGGAACAACACACACUGGGACCUGUUGCAGGGUUGGGGGGCGAGGGGAGGGAACUUAGAGGACGGGUCAAUAGGUGCAGCAAACCACCAUCCACACAUAUAUCUAGGUAACAAACCUGCACAUUCUGUAUGUAAAGUAAAAUAAAAAAACACUUCCAUAUAUUACUUUAAAAAUGUUUUUUAAAAAAAGAAAGAAAAAGAGUUCGAGACACGGGACCAUUGCUUAAGGAAGGGUGCACAAUGGGGUUAUAAAUCAACACUCUUAGGCUGAUGUGUUCUGUGGGAGAGGGGCUCUGCAGAGGGAUCUGGCAGGCUGAAGGAGAUCCAUGGUAUUGUUCAGGAGAUAAAUGAGGGAUAGGGUGACCUGAAGGAGAGAAAGAGAAGCCACUGAGGGAACACAUGUAAAGACAACAACGUUUAAGUUUAGUGUUUGUUCUAUGAACAACAGACACACCCAAAAAUGUUAUCUCAGCAUAUACAUUGUGGUAGUAUCUUACUGUUUAUUUGUAUAAUACCAAAAAUCUAUGCAGAUUAUAAUUCUUAAUAAUGAAUUUCACCAUUGUGGGAAACGAGAAAUAAAUAUAAAAAGUAAAAAUGCCUUAAAUCAAGUGAUUACUUUCAUUUCCAAUUAUGUAUCCUCACACUGAAACUCUGGGUUGGGUGUCACGGACCUCGUUCUGCAGAAGCAAGCGUAUGUGAACAAGGUUAUUGAUUUAAACUUGCACAGACACAGGAAUUGAUUCAAUCUGAAAACAAAAACGUGAGCUCAUGUGUGUGUGUGUGUGUAAAAUUUCUUCAUGAAAAUGAAAGACUAUGCCAUCUUCAAGUUGGACAAUACCUAAGGGUCUUCAACUCUAACCUCUUUAUUGUGUUAAUAUGAAACACAGAGGUAGGGUAGGAGAGUGGCUUAUCCUUGGGAGUCCCAGGAGUCAGGUCUCAUGACCUCAUCCAAUGCUGUUUUGAAGGUAUCUCUAGCUGGUUUUACAGCUAGAGAGCCUGGGUUCAAAUAUCAGCACCACUACUUACUUGCUGUGACCUUGGGCAAGCUACCAUAUCUCUCUAUGUGUUAGGUUUCUCAUCUGUAAAAUACAAAUAACAAUAAUACUUAUUUGUGGUUGAUUGUCUAAUGAGCACAAAGUCUGCCAUGCCACUAUAUACUCAUCUGUGUAAUGUGACUUUGCUAAUCCUCUUGACCAAGGGGGUAAUCUCUUCGAAUCUGGGUUAACCCUGUGACUUGUUUUGACAAAUAAAAUGCACA
Molecule: long non-coding RNA, 2821 nt
Organism: Homo sapiens (human)
Lineage: Eukaryota; Metazoa; Chordata; Mammalia; Primates; Hominidae
Source: Ensembl